This 302-nucleotide long non-coding RNA is filed under the name Pogona vitticeps (central bearded dragon). RNAcentral's name for it is "lncRNA (ENSPVIG00000019633.1)". Lineage: Eukaryota; Metazoa; Chordata; Lepidosauria; Squamata; Agamidae. The record is from RNAcentral.
UUCCCUCCCACACUGUGGAAUAGAAACAGCUGAUUAGAUUUUGUACCCUGUCAGCUGAACAUCUUUUUGCUUAUCUAGUUUAGUUCUAAAUGCUCUUUCAGCUCAGAUUCUAGAUGCAAUCAUUUGAAUUUGCAGUAAUAAUCGUGCAGUCUCCAAAUGGCAUAAAGAUUUCCGUUAGAAGAACAGCAACUCUCUGUGCCAAACCCUGGAAAUUCCUGGAAGAAGUCAAUGUUAUGUCUUGUGGGAAACAGACACAUAACAGCAUCCUGAAGCCAGAUUCUGGAAAACCUCAAGAACACUGA